Molecule: ribosomal RNA, 381 nt
Filed under: Triticum aestivum (bread wheat)
Lineage: Eukaryota; Viridiplantae; Streptophyta; Magnoliopsida; Poales; Poaceae
Description: partial small subunit ribosomal RNA
Source: RNAcentral
AUGGGGAGGGGCAAGAUUGUGAUUAGGAGGAUUGAGAACAUGAGCAGCAGGCAGGCCACCUUCUCCAAGCGGUGUCGUGGCCUGCUGAAGAAAGCACGUGAGCUGGCCAUCCUCUGUGAUGUCCAGGUCAGUGUCAUCGUCUUCUCCUCCACCGGUCGCCUCUACGAAUAUGCUAGCCCCAUCGCCGCCACCACCAUGGGCAUGGCCAUGCCUUCCAUCAUUCAAAACUACCAAUCUGCACAAGAGCACCAUCAGCUGUUGAAUCCAAUUUCACAAGUCAUGGUAUGCGCGCGUGCAUUCCUUGAAGCCUUUUUUACUCUCAACGUUCCAUACAUGAUGUUUUUGACAAGUAGACAUGCACUUUGCAUCAUGCAACUUUAA